This 293-nucleotide ribosomal RNA is filed under the name uncultured Bacteroides sp. RNAcentral describes it as "partial 16S ribosomal RNA". It matches the Rfam family "Bacterial small subunit ribosomal RNA", at positions 53 to 339 of the family's 1533-position model. Lineage: Bacteria; Pseudomonadati; Bacteroidota; Bacteroidia; Bacteroidales; Bacteroidaceae. The record is from RNAcentral.
ACAUGCAAGUCGAGGGGCAGCAUGGUCUUAGCUUGCUAAGGCCGAUGGCGACCGGCGCACGGGUGAGUAACACGUAUCCAACCUGCCGAUAACUCGGGGAUAGCCUUUCGAAAGAAAGAUUAAUAUCCGAUAGUAUAUUAAAACCGCAUGGUUUUACUAUUAAAGAAUUUCGGUUAUCGAUGGGGAUGCGUUCCAUUAGGCAGUUGGUGGGGUAACGGCCCACCAAACCUUCGAUGGAUAGGGGUUCUGAGAGGAAGGUCCCCACAUUGGAACUGAGACACGGUCCAAACUCC